UAGUGGCCGCCAGCACAGAACCCACAACAAUAGGUGUACAGUGAUUUUCCCGGCAGUGAGCUACCGACUUCGCCUCUCCUCCCUGGCCGCAGCUCCCCUUCUCAGACUAAAUUUCUGUGCUGCACAGAAGAUUCUCUUCACCCAAGCUAAAUCAAAAGAGGAAAUUACUGUCUGUUCCACGGUGGACAUGGUAGAUUUGCCAAGAAAACCAAAUGCAAACAUCCCUUUUCAACCUUCCCUACUCCCUCGUUCUCAAAGUCGGCAUUGAGGAUUUCCAAGACAAAAACAGCUUUCUGAUGUUGGGCUGGAACAGCCCCCUUGGGGAACCUUGUCAGUUGUUACCCUGAAGUGUAAGUGCUUUCCAACUUUACGACUGCGAUUUCAACAUCUGUUACCUAAUUUAGCAAGUUGACAGGACUUGACUGUGGCUGCCACGCUCACCGGCUGUGACUGCAUGAGCCGGGCAUGUUUCGAGGAGAGUAACUCUAGACUGUAAGCUCGUGUGUAGACUGAAAGUCCGUUGUGCUCAGGGAGCGUGGCGGCUAACGGUUGGAUUGUACUCUCCCAGGUGCUAGGUAUAAUGUUCUGCUCAUUCUAAGUGCUCAAUGUACCACUGAUUGAGAGACUAUUUCCAAAGAAAAUAGUGCCUCUGCUCCAGAUGUGCUCCGGGAAAACAUAAACUGGAAACACCUACCCAAUGUGAAAGCUGUCUGAAUCGACCAAGAAAACGUCGCGAUCCAGCCCAGUGAGGGACUGUUUAUACCCAUCGCAUCUAUUUGAGGUCUCAAGUCAACAAAAGUCUGACCAAGCCCAAACCACAGAGGAUUUGAACCCAGGGUCCUACCAACUUUUUCACCAAAUGGUUGCCAGUGAAUCUGUUUCAUACUAAAGGAGAGAUUUAGGACUUCUCUAUAUAUCUCCAGAAGGUAACUAUCUUAAAUCACAAUUCACACCAGAGUCAAAGGAAAACCAAGAGGCCAGCUUGUUUAACUUGAAGCCAGAAAAGAACAAGAGUUAUA
Long non-coding RNA from Ornithorhynchus anatinus (platypus), 1019 nucleotides. RefSeq lists it as uncharacterized. Lineage: Eukaryota; Metazoa; Chordata; Mammalia; Monotremata; Ornithorhynchidae. The record is from RefSeq and is a predicted model, not a curated record. The transcript is spliced from 3 exons.